GAUCAACGCUGGCGGCAGGCCUAACACAUGCAAGUCGAGCGCGAAAAGUUCUUCGGUACUGAGUAGAGCGGCGGACGGGUGAGUAACGCGUAGGAAUCUGUCCGGUAGUGGGGGAUAACGUUCCGAAAGGAACGCUAAUACCGCAUACGCCCCAUGGGGGAAAGAGGGGGACUCGCAAGAGCCUCUCGCUAUCGGAGGAGCCUGCGUAGGAUUAGCUAGUUGGUAGGGUCAAAGACUACCAAGGCGACGAUCCGCAGCCGGUCUGAGAGGAUGACCAGGCAUACCGGAACUGAGACACGGGCCGGACUCCUACGGGAGGCAGCAGUGAGGAAGAGUGCGCAAUGGGGGCCACCCUGACGCAGCCAGGCCGCGUGGGUGAAGGAGGCCUUCCGCUUGUAAAGCCCUUUCAGAGGGGGUGAAAUGGUGCGGGCUAAUACCCCGUGCAAUUGACGCUAUCCUCAGAAGAAGCACCGACUAAUUCCGUGCCAGCAGCCUCAGUAA
Molecule: ribosomal RNA, 501 nt
Filed under: uncultured bacterium
Lineage: Bacteria
Description: partial 16S ribosomal RNA
Rfam family: Bacterial small subunit ribosomal RNA
Source: RNAcentral